This 497-nucleotide ribosomal RNA is filed under the name uncultured bacterium. Its description in RNAcentral is "partial 16S ribosomal RNA". It matches the Rfam family "Bacterial small subunit ribosomal RNA", at positions 28 to 507 of the family's 1533-position model. The record is from RNAcentral.
GAUGAACGCUGGCGGCGUGCCUAAUACAUGCAAGUCGAGCGAACAGACGAGGAGCUUGCUCCUCUGACGUUAGCGGCGGACGGGUGAGUAACACGUGGAUAACCUACCUAUAAGACUGGGAUAACUUCGGGAAACCGGAGCUAAUACCGGAUAAUAUAUUGAACCGCAUGGUUCAAUAGUGAAAGACGGUUUUGCUGUCACUGAUAGAUGUAUCCGCGCCGCAUUAGCUAGUUGGUAAGGUAACGGCUUACCAAGGCGACGAUGCGUAGCCGACCUGAGAGGGUGAUCGGCCACACUGGAACUGAGACACGGUCCAGACUCCUACGGGAGGCAGCAGUAGGGAAUCUUCCGCAAUGGGCGUAAGCCUGACGGAGCAACGCCGCGUGAGUGAUGAAGGUCUUCGGAUCGUAAAACUCUGUUAUUAGGGAAGAACAAAUGUGUAAGUAACUAUGCACGUCUUGACGGUACCUAAUCAGAAAGCCACGGCUAACUACGUG